This 234-nucleotide ribosomal RNA is filed under the name uncultured bacterium. Its description in RNAcentral is "partial 16S ribosomal RNA". It matches the Rfam family "Bacterial small subunit ribosomal RNA", at positions 96 to 334 of the family's 1533-position model. The record is from RNAcentral.
CGGCGAACGGGUGAGUAACGCGUGGAUAACCUGCCCUGAGGUGUGGGAUAACCAGGGGAAACUCUGGCUAAUACCGCAUGAUACCGAGAGGUCAAAGGGGGCUCGCAAGGGCUCUCGCCAUAGGAGGGGUCCGCGUACGAUUAGCUAGUUGGUAGGGUAAUGGCCUACCAAGGCGACGAUCGUUAGCCGGCCUGAGAGGGUGAUCGGCCACACUGGAACUGAGACACGGUCCAG